This 776-nucleotide ribosomal RNA is filed under the name uncultured Neocallimastigales. RNAcentral's name for it is "partial large subunit ribosomal RNA". It matches the Rfam family "Eukaryotic large subunit ribosomal RNA", at positions 23 to 649 of the family's 3401-position model. Lineage: Eukaryota; Fungi; Neocallimastigomycota; Neocallimastigomycetes; Neocallimastigales. The record is from RNAcentral.
UAUGUGAUCGUCUCUUGCAUAUCAAUAAGCGGAGGAAAAGAAACUAACAAGGAUUCCCCUAGUAACGGCGAGUGAAGCGGGAAGAGCUCAAAUUUGAAAUCUUAAAGGGUUUCCCUUUACGAAUUGUAGUUUAAAGAAGUGUUUUCUGUUGAGGUUUUGGUAAAAGUUCUUUGGAAUAGGACAUCAUAGAGGGUGAGAAUCCCGUAUUUGACCUUUACUUUCAACUUUGUGACUACACUUUCAAAGAGUCGGAUUGUUUGGGAAUGCAGUCCAAAAUGGGUGGUAAAUUUCAUCUAAAGCUAAAUAUUGGCGAGAGACCGAUAGCGAACAAGUACCGUGAGGGAAAGAUGAAAAGAACUUUGAAAAGAGAGUUAAACAGUACGUGAAAUUGUCAAAAGGGAAGCGUUUGACACCAGUGUUGUUUUUCUGAAAAUCAAUUAAAGAACUGUUUAUGCUAAGUUGUUUAGACUUUAUCAGCUAAUCUGCUUAGUUUUGAGCUUUUCUUUAAUGCACUUUUCAGUUAACAAGUCAACAUCAAUUUCUUUUGCUGUAAAAAAGCUUGAGGAAGGUGGCUUGAGAUUCGUCUUAAGUGUUUAUAGCCUCUUGCCUAUGCAGUCGGAGAGAUUGAGGUCUGCAGCGUAGAUCCUUCGGGGCUAAAUGCAUUUGUGCUAAGUUAUAGCAUUUUAUAGACAACUUGUUGACUAUGAUUUGUCUUGUAGCUUACUCGCUUAUGUUAUUUUACCUACGCUUAGGAUGUUGAGUAGCGACAUACGCAC